This 86-nucleotide small RNA is filed under the name Flavobacterium aquicola. RNAcentral's name for it is "Flavo-1 RNA". It matches the Rfam family "Flavo-1 RNA". The record is from RNAcentral. Lineage: Bacteria; Pseudomonadati; Bacteroidota; Flavobacteriia; Flavobacteriales; Flavobacteriaceae.
CCAUAGCCCUGAUGGAAGCGACAUCCUUUUUAUAAAGCAAUUUUUCUUUGCUUUAUAAAAAGAUACAGCGGACAGCAGGAAACAGC